This 642-nucleotide long non-coding RNA is filed under the name Lathyrus oleraceus (garden pea). Its description in RNAcentral is "Pisum sativum (pea) long non-coding RNA (PSAT_LNC035691)". Lineage: Eukaryota; Viridiplantae; Streptophyta; Magnoliopsida; Fabales; Fabaceae. The record is from RNAcentral.
UUUUCGGUGUGGCAGCCAUCCUUCUUUUGUUUGGUUUGGUAGCCACACGAUUUUGUUCUUGCUGAGGAUUUUCUUUUGAUUCCUCUUUUGCAGAGUUGUUUUUUCAUUUUCCUAUUUUUGUUGGAUUGGUUUGGAUUUACAAUCCAUAGGGAUGCCCUAAUUUUUGCCUAAGUCAUCAUUUUCAAGUUUUCGAAUUAGCAGGCUUUAUUUCUUUUGAUUUCUGAUUUUUUUUGUUUUUCCUGUUUUCUUUUUGUUUUGAAACAAAUUGUGUGACAUCUAUCCGCUUGAUUGGAAUGGGUUGUGAACGCCUCGUGCUUCUGUGGGUGAGGGACAACCGUUUGGAAUUUGGUGUUAUCCGACCUCUUGUGGGGGAUAAGAUAUGGUUGAUCCUCGGAUAGGACACUCCUCUUUUGAAGUUUAAACGCUUGGUCAAAUUGACUGACGACUACCCUGUCCCGGUUUGCGAUUGAGGGUUUUAUAUUUAGAAAGAAACUCAUACUCCUUGGCUCGAAGGGGUUGACUAGGGAUUAUCUUCCUUAUAUCUUCGAUGUUUGGUAUUUGAAACAAUGCCUUACAUCAUCAACAAGUUUUUAUUCAAAAGCGUACGAGCAAUGACUUCACGUUUUUAAUUUCAUCAUCCUC